Long non-coding RNA from Cynocephalus volans (Philippine flying lemur), 948 nucleotides. RefSeq lists it as uncharacterized. The transcript has 3 exons. NCBI's taxonomy places the organism in Eukaryota, Metazoa, Chordata, Mammalia, Dermoptera, Cynocephalidae. The record is from RefSeq and is a predicted model, not a curated record.
UGUUCUUCUGCACCGGGAUCUCCUCUCCGUCGAGGACCAGGUGCGCGUCGCAGAAGCGAGACUCCUCGCGGAAAGAGCUGAGCGCUCGCAGCAGGCGCGCGGCAUGCUGCGGGUCGGACACGGCGCUGCCCUCGGCCAUCGCGGCGCCCGCUCCUCGGCCUGCCGGUCCGGCUCCCAACGCCGCCGGACCAGACCCCUCCAGCCGCCCGCGUCCGGCGCGCUCCCCGUCCGCACACUCUGCGCGCGCGCCCGUCCGCCCGCCGGGCCCGUCUUCCAGUGCUCAGAAGCUGGAGUCCCCGGAACGCGCCUGCGCCAUCCGCAGCGCGUGGGGCCGGCGCCUUUAAGGAGCCCCGGCGUUGCGUCAUUUCCCCGCGACGCCCCCGCGCCCUCGCUCCCCUCCCUCUGGUGCUCCGUCCCCGGAAGCGGCCAAUCAGAAGCCUCCUUUCUCUUCCGGACCGGCUCGUCUUGGCCCCGGAGCAGCCCGGGUGCAGCUGGGAGGUGUCGAUAGCUAAGAGUGGUCGCAGCAGGGAUGGAGCGGGCAGGCUAGGACUCUGUGAUUACGCCCGUGGACUCUGGAGACGCGAGUUUGAAUCUCGGCCCUUCCGCUUGCUAGCUGUGUGGCCAUGGGUAGGUGGAGCCCAUUGCUGUGGAAGAUAGACUGUCCAAGAGGAGAGGAAGCAGAGACGGGUACAUUCACCACAGGAAGACCUCAUGGUCAAGACUCCAGGUGGCACAAGUGGUCAUCAGGCUCAGUGGAGAGUGAAGGGGAGUGGACUAUUGAGAUGGGAAGGAGAUGCCCAAUCCCACAAAUGACUAAGAACUUCCAAAAGACAGCUUAAGAUGAACAUGAGGAAGAGCGACCAUCCACCCAUAGAAAAGCAAGCCUCGGAAUCAUGCAGGAUCUGGCAGCUCCCUGGACAACAGCACCCUCACCUACAAACUGUCUCU